This is a long non-coding RNA of Ixodes scapularis (black-legged tick), 240 nucleotides long. RefSeq lists it as uncharacterized. NCBI's taxonomy places the organism in Eukaryota, Metazoa, Arthropoda, Arachnida, Ixodida, Ixodidae. The record is from RefSeq and is a predicted model, not a curated record. The transcript is spliced from 4 exons.
CGGGAUGAACUGCGCCAGAUAGACGCGGAGCUGCAAAAGGCCAAGUACGAUCCCGACGAGCUGGAAAAAAUCAGGCACCACCUGAAAGAAGUCGAAAAGGCCGCCAAAAGACUGCGGGAGAUGGUGGAAAGAGUGAACGAGAAAACACGAACCGACACUGAGCCAACAACCACAGCAGCAUCAACAAUCAGCCAAACAGCAGCACCAACAGUCCGCCAAACCACGCCGGAAAUGCACACG